This is a long non-coding RNA of Chenopodium quinoa (quinoa), 1442 nucleotides long. RefSeq lists it as uncharacterized. The record is from RefSeq and is a predicted model, not a curated record. The transcript has 3 exons. Lineage: Eukaryota; Viridiplantae; Streptophyta; Magnoliopsida; Caryophyllales; Amaranthaceae.
UUAUUGCAACUUUCACAAUUUUGUCAUUUUUAGUAAGUUUUUUGAAAAUAAAAUUACAUAAAUACCCUUACUUAGAAUUUAAUGACCCCAAUUAGAUUUUAAACGGUAAACUAAUUAAAUUACUAAUCUAACAUUAUUUAUCUAACAAUUCCCGCCAAAUUUAAUUCUUUAUUCCAAUUCCCAACUAACUCAUUAAUUCAUCAGCCUUCAAUUGCUAUUUCCAUAAAUUAAACCUUAACUCUACUUGUUCUUCAUCUUCCUUGUUUCUCUCUCUUCAAAAACGAGCAGAUUUGAGCAGAUCUCCAUUAAGCACCCCUCACUUCUCACUCGGUUCAUCUAUUAUCUCACUCACUCUCUAUCUCUUUGUCCUUGUUAAUCCAUUUCUCUGUUUCACAAAAAUUGAGUAGAUCUGCGUUUUUUGAGUCCCACAAAAAUGGUAGAUUUCGAGCAUCUUGCCCACGCUAUUUUCGCAAGUGAGGACGAAAAGAAAAAUCCAGUUUCUUGAUGAUAUAUACGAUGCGCUUGAAGAUGGGUUUUUGUGGCCUAGAAGAUUCUACAAUUCUGGGGAGUUGGGUGAUGUUUUGAGCGAAAAUUCUUUCAUCGCUCUGGGUAAAGUUCUCAGAUCUAUUGAUGCUGAAGAAGAGGAGAAGAAAAAAAAGAGGGUUUUGGAAGAUACGAAACCCACGAGCAGUGAAGGGCGAAAAAGCGAAGAUCUUUUGUUAUCUUGCCCUUAACUCCAAGAAUGUCCUGCCAAACAAUCAUGAAGUUGCGAGGGAAGGGGGCAAAAAUUGUUACUGUAGACGAUGAGGGGGAAAACGACCUUCCUGCUGCUUUGAAUGUGGGAAAAACCGACCCUGCUGCAUCUUUAAAUGAGGGGAAAAUUGACCCUCCUCCGGAAGCUUCAAGUUAGGUGAUUUCUAGCGAGUGUGGCCGAGUUUAGGCAUUUUUCAAGAGGGUUGAAAUAAAGAGGAAGUAACAGGUACUUGAAGCAUGAAGAGCAUGAUGGGAUAGAGUGCAUAGAGUUACUUGUUAUGUUUCUUAAUUUGAUAUAUUAGAAUUAUUCGUUUGUUUAUGGGCUAACGUUAUUGUGUUUGUUUUUAAUUGGUUUUUAAGAAUGACCAUGUUUGAAUUGGUUCCAACUUGUGUAGGUUUAUUCUACUUUUGUUUUGAGGUUUUUAAGAAGGGCCAUGUUUGAAUUGGUUCCAACUUGUGUAGAUUUAUUCUACUUUUGUUUUGAGGUUGUGAACUCAAUUUUUAUUUCUGAAAGUUGGUUUUUAUUUUUAGACUUCCGCUGUGUGACUUUGAAAAUCAGCCUUGAUUAGGGAAUUUUCCCCGCCUAAUCAUAGUUUGACACGUGGACCAAUCAGGCCCUGUCAUGUGUCCGUCACAUGGACCACUUAGAGCCUGACACGUGUCACAUAUUGAUCAGUCCAGCUUGGACA